GCCUGGCUAGCUCAGUCUGUAGAGCAUGAGACUCUUAAUGUCAGGGUCGUGGGUUUGAGCCCCACUUUGGGCG
Danio rerio (zebrafish) is the source of this 73-nucleotide non-coding RNA. Lineage: Eukaryota; Metazoa; Chordata; Actinopteri; Cypriniformes; Danionidae. The record is from Rfam.